UACGUAGGUGGCAAGCGUUGUCCGGAUUUAUUGGGUUUAAAGGGUGCGUAGGCGGCCCUGUAAGUCAGUGCUGAAAUAUCCCAGCUUAACUGGGAGGGUGGCAUUGAUACUGCGGGGCUAGAGUACAGAUGAGGUAGGCGGAAUUGACGGUGUAGCGGUGAAAUGCUUAGAUAUCGUCAAGAACACCUAUUGCGAAGGCAGCUCACUAAGCUUUAACUGACACUGAGGCACGAAAGUGUGGGGAUCAAACAGG
RNAcentral lists this ribosomal RNA (253 nucleotides) under uncultured bacterium. Its description in RNAcentral is "partial 16S ribosomal RNA". It matches the Rfam family "Bacterial small subunit ribosomal RNA", at positions 524 to 776 of the family's 1533-position model. The record is from RNAcentral.